This is a long non-coding RNA of Mauremys reevesii (Reeves's turtle), 177 nucleotides long. RefSeq lists it as uncharacterized. The record is from RefSeq and is a predicted model, not a curated record. NCBI's taxonomy places the organism in Eukaryota, Metazoa, Chordata, Testudines, Geoemydidae. The transcript is spliced from 3 exons.
AUCACACUCUGCAUUGCGGAUGGCUAUUUAUGAGGAAUCAGAUUAUCUGUGCCCCAUGCUUCUGCGCAGUUGCCUACUCCUCUCAUGGCAGCCUGGCAUCUUUAAGGACUUUUCUACCCUUAAAACUCCGGAGAGCAACUGGCAACUGAAAUUGCAGGGAAACACCUGCUGCACCCC